CCAGAGGGUUGGGCGAUCGCGGCUCCGCGCAAGCGGGGGCGAGGAAAGUCCGGGCUCCACGAAAGCAACGGUGCCGGUUAAUGGCCGGCGGGGGCGACCCCAGGGACAGUGCAACAGAAAGCAAACCGCCGGUCUUCGGGCCGGUAAGGUCGAAAGGGUGCGGUAAGAGCGCACCGCGUCUCCGGUAACGGCAGGCGGCACGGUAAACCCCACCGGGAGCAAAACCGAAUAGGGGCGGCAUAUGGGCGUGUUUCGGCUCGUCGCCCGGGUUGGUUGCUGGAGGGGCGGAGCAAUCCGUCCCCUAGAUGAAUGGUCGCACAUCCGCCGUCGCCUUUGGGCUAUGGCGGAGGACAGAACCCGGCUUACAGACCCUCUGGCAUU
Molecule: RNase P RNA, 381 nt
Filed under: Pseudomonadota bacterium
Lineage: Bacteria; Pseudomonadati; Pseudomonadota
Description: RNase P RNA component class A
Rfam family: Bacterial RNase P class A
About the family: Ribonuclease P (RNase P) is a ubiquitous endoribonuclease, found in archaea, bacteria and eukarya as well as chloroplasts and mitochondria. Its best characterised activity is the generation of mature 5'-ends of tRNAs by cleaving the 5'-leader elements of precursor-tRNAs. Cellular RNase Ps are ribonucleoproteins.
Source: RNAcentral